UGGCUCAGGAUGAACGCUAGCUACAGGCUUAACACAUGCAAGUCGAGGGGCAGCAUUUUAGUUUGCUUGCAAACUGAAGAUGGCGACCGGCGCACGGGUGAGUAGCACGUAUCCAACCUGCCGAUAACUCCGGAAUAGCCUUUCGAAAGAAAGAUUAAUACCGGAUAGCAUACGAAUAUCGCAUGAUAUUUUUAUUAAAGAAUUUCGGUUAUCGAUGGGGAUGCGUUCCAUUAGUUUGUUGGCGGGGUAACGGCCCACCAAGACUACGAUGGAUAGGGGUUCUGAGAGGAAGGUCCCCCACAUUGGAACUGAGACACGGUCCAAACUCCUACGGGAGGCAGCAGUGAGGAAUAUUGGUCAAUGGGCGAGAGCCUGAACCAGCCAAGUAGCGUGAAGGAUGAAGGCUCUAUGGGUCGUAAACUUCUUUUAUAUGGGAAUAAAGUUUUCCACGUGUGGAAUUUUGUAUGUACCAUAUGAAUAAGGAUCGGCUAACUCCGUGCCAGCAGCCGCGGUAAUACGGAGGAUCCGAGCGUUAUCCGGAUUUAUUGGGUUUAAAGGGAGCGUAGGUGGAUUGUUAAGUCAGUUGUGAAAGUUUGCGGCUCAACCGUAAAAUUGCAGUUGAAACUGGCAGUCUUGAGUACAGUAGAGGUGGGCGGAAUUCGUGGUGUAGCGGUGAAAUGCUUAGAUAUCACGAAGAACUCCGAUUGCGAAGGCAGCUCACUAGACUGUCACUGACACUGAUGCUCGAAAGUGUGGGUAUCAAACAGGAUUAGAUACCCUGGUAGUCCACACAGUAAACGAUGAAUACUCGCUGUUUGCGAUAUACAGUAAGCGGCCAAGCGAAAGCAUUAAGUAUUCCACCUGGGGAGUACGCCGGCAACGGUGAAACUCAAAGGAAUUGACGGGGGCCCGCACAAGCGGAGGAACAUGUGGUUUAAUUCGAUGAUACGCGAGGAACCUUACCCGGGCUUAAAUUGCAACAGAAUAUAUUGGAAACAGUAUAGCCGUAAGGCUGUUGUGAAGGUGCUGCAUGGUUGUCGUCAGCUCGUGCCGUGAGGUGUCGGCUUAAGUGCCAUAACGAGCGCAACCCUUAUCUUUAGUUACUAACAGGUUAUGCUGAGGACUCUAGAGAGACUGCCGUCGUAAGAUGUGAGGAAGGUGGGGAUGACGUCAAAUCAGCACGGCCCUUACGUCCGGGGCUACACACGUGUUACAAUGGGGGGUACAGAAGGCCGCUACCUGGUGACAGGAUGCUAAUCCCAAAAGCCUCUCUCAGUUCGGAUCGAAGUCUGCAACCCGACUUCGUGAAGCUGGAUUCGCUAGUAAUCGCGCAUCAGCCAUGGCGCGGUGAAUACGUUCCCGGGCCUUGUACACACCGCCCGUCAAGCCAUGAAAGCCGGGGGUACCUGAAGUACGUAACCGCAAGGAGCGUCCUAGGGUAAAACUGGU
This 1449-nucleotide ribosomal RNA is filed under the name uncultured organism. Its description in RNAcentral is "16S ribosomal RNA". It matches the Rfam family "Bacterial small subunit ribosomal RNA". The record is from RNAcentral.